AACAUUUCUAAAUCUCAGAAAUGUAAUAGAAACUAACCCAAAUGUUUUUCAAGUGCAUGUGAUCUAGGAUAAUUUUCAUUUAGUAAAAAUGAGCUUAGGUUUGUUGGUUUAAUAAAAUUAGACAUGUCUUUAGCAUUACCAACAUUAAGUAUCCUUUAUAUUCUACCCAAGGUGACUAAGAAUAAGCUCAUCUUAACCACUGUUACAAAAUUUGUCAAUAAUAACUUGGUAUAGUAAAGAUCUUUACUUAAAAAUAGCAUCCAAAAUCUUUUUGAUAACCUGAAACCUUAAAAUUUUGCUAAGUUAAAUUAAGUGAUGGGAGUUCAUUGAAUAUCUAAAUCAUUUCCAAAUAAGAUAUAAUUACUAGGCAAGUCUAAAUUUACAUACUUUUGUCUCCUUAUUACAGAGAAACUAAAGAUAAAUUUGGUCUAUUGGUAAACAUGUUUUGUACUUAAUUGAAAGACCGUACUAUGAAGAAGCAAGUUUCUAGAAAUUACGAAAUGUAGUCUUAAAUUUGCCAUUAUAAAGAAUACUGGUGCAACAGACAGUUCACAAUUGCUUACUACUUAUUUUUCACUAGAAAUUAAGGUUUCUAAAAAUUAAGAAUUCUCAUAAAUGUUAUUAAAGCCACUAGAAAUAAGGGAAACAUCUCUGCGAGAAGAAAAGUAGGAUGUGUCGUUUUGGUAAAAGAAGGUGUGAAGAAUCAAAACACAUUUUUCAUUGAAGUGAAAAGAAAGUAAUUUUGUCCCACAGGUGAGAGGCUGGUUUUUUAAAGAGGGACAAUUUAGGACAAAAUCUGAAUGUUAGUUUGUUGAAAAAGAAUGUUAGUGUGUGAUCAAGCUGGUGAAAAUUAAAAUUAAUUUAUUUAAAAAUGAUUUCAAUGUCAAAAGUAAGCUUUAAUAUCAAUAAUAAUCUUAUAUAAAACUGAAACUUCUUCUUUGUGUGAAAGAACAGAGUUUUCUUGAACUAUUGGUCUGCUUAAUAUUAAGAGAUUGUGAAGGGUUUUCCUUGUCCUUAGUGUUUUUGUUUUAUCAGAAUAAUUUCUUGUGCUUCUCAUUGUCUUAAUCAGGUCUUUGAUUUCUUAAGAAAACCGAGUCUCUUCAAUAGCCAAUAUAUCUAUAAAGAGAUUAUGGCACAUGUAAAUGAAGUCCAUUCAGCUUCUGCAAAAUUUGACCUUUUAUUGCCAGACUUUUGCCAUUCUGAUAUUCCUGUGAUGUAGCAACAGUCUUCACCAGAGUCAGAGAAAUUAAGCUAAGCAAACAAUGAUUGCAAAUUAAACAGUCAGGGCUAUGGGAACCCCAAGAUGUCUGCGGUCCCUUCCUGGAUCCCUGUCAGACUCCUUUUUUCUUUUGGUUUUUGCAUUUCUUCACUCACUUAGUGCCUUUAAGGAGAAACCAUUUUGAUUUCCAGAGGCCUCAGACCUCCUCUCACUGGACUCUGUGAACACCUGCAGCUGAACUUCAACUGCCACUUAGUAUAUAGGUUAUAAAAUGUUCUUAUUAUUGUACUCUGUUUUCCAGAGAGUUGAAGCCUUCCUUUGUUACACGGUUGGUGCCCUCACAGUAACAAAGAAACUGUUAGAACAUGUUUCCACUUAGGGUAUACAUUCUGUAAUCUCCAAUGAUAGGGGUCCUCACUUCACUGUGCAAAUCAUAUAAGCUUUAAGGAAAGCCCCGCAAACUUCUGGACCUCAAUCUUAAAGUUUCUGAACUUGCAAAAACGACUGGACUUCCCUGACUAAGGUAUUGCCUUUGGUUUUGCUGACUGUUCACAGUACCAGCUUUUGAAAACAUAAACUCACUCCAUGUGAGAUAGUUAGCAGCAGAACAAUGUCUAUUGGUGUACAACCUUUGUUGGUCCCUUGUUGUAUAUCAUGCUAAAAUGCAAGUGUCUAAUGUAUUAUGCCCAAGCAUAUCGUCAGCAGGUAAAAGAAGCCUUACCAGAACCCAGUUCAAAGGAUCCAGUUGGUCACAGACUAGAGCCUGGCGACCGGGUAUACUGGAAACAUCAGAGGAAGAGAGCUCUUGAGUCACCCUGGGAAGGACCUUUCUGAGUGCUCCUGACCACUGACACUGUUGCAGAAUUAGAGGGCAUUGAAACCCGGAUACACAUCUCACAACUAAAUGCGGCUCACAUUGACACCUGGUCUUGAACAGACACAGGAGACCACCUGUGAAUCAGAUUGAGGAAGAGAAGCUGACAUUGGUGUAGACUGCUUCAUCCCAAGAUGAUGGAUCAAGACUAUACUUCAACUAGAUGUUUAAAUGCAGUUAAACAACUAACUACCAAACAGAUGACCUCCCUGAUACUGGAACUUAAGAGGAGAAUUGAAGAGAAUGACCGACUUAAGGCUCUCAUUGAAUCUGAAUUAACCUGUGAAUAUCACAGAGGUAAAAGCACAAAUGUCAUGACCCAUGGACACCACCACAUAAGAGAAGCUAGAAAAGCUGCAGCAGCUACAGAGCAGUAACUGACAGUGGCGCUGACGCCUGACAUUCUGAUCACAUCUCUCCGUCAGGCUGAGAAUCUGAUCAUAAGGGAGGGAACCGUUAAAAAGAUAGACACAGGCCCAACCUGGGGUCACUUCUGUUAGGCAAAGUCACCAAACUGGGGCUUAAUACCUCACCUAGCUGCAGUUUCAACCUCCCCCAGAUUGUAGUCAGUCAGGAAUUUUCUGGUAAGCAUCAAUAAGAAAAUGUCAUCUGGGCCCUCUCCAUUCCCCAAAGGAAUCAACCUAAUAAGGCCCUUUUGUCCCCAGAUGGAGGUGACCUCUGAAACAACCCUUUUUGCUGUUUAUGACUUCCUUGUCUUGCCUUUAAAAACCUUUCUGUUGCCCUUCGGAGCAUUACUCUACUUGCUAGGUGGGAUGCUGCCUGAUCCAUGAAACACUUAAUAAAGCCAAUUAGAUCUUCAAA
Molecule: long non-coding RNA, 2915 nt
Organism: Manis pentadactyla (Chinese pangolin)
Lineage: Eukaryota; Metazoa; Chordata; Mammalia; Pholidota; Manidae
Exons: 2
Source: RefSeq, a predicted model, not a curated record